CCGCGGCAGGGAGAUGGCAUUCCUCCUUUAACCGCCGCGAGGCUGAUGAUGCCUAUCUGACA
RNAcentral lists this non-coding RNA (62 nucleotides) under Betaproteobacteria bacterium. Its description in RNAcentral is "Fluoride sequence". It matches the Rfam family "Fluoride riboswitch aptamer (crcB RNA motif)". The record is from RNAcentral. Lineage: Bacteria; Pseudomonadati; Pseudomonadota; Betaproteobacteria.